UUUCCGUAGGUGAACCUGCGGAAGGAUCAUUAUCGAGUUUUGAAAGGGGUUGUAAGCUGGCCUUUUCGGAGGCAUGUGCACGCCUCGCUCAUCCACUCUACACCUGUGCACUUACUGUGGGUUUCAGACGUGGGGCGAGCCUUUACCGGCUUGUGAAGCAUCUGUGCCUGCGUUUAUUACAAACACUAUUAAAGUAUUAGAACGUGUAUUGCGACAUAACGCAUUUAUAUUCAACUUUCAGCAACGGAUCUCUUGGCUCUC
Molecule: unclassified non-coding RNA, 261 nt
Filed under: plant metagenome
Description: partial contains small subunit ribosomal RNA, internal transcribed spacer 1, and 5.8S ribosomal RNA
Source: RNAcentral